UCGGGUGUGUAUAGAGUGGCGAACGGGUGAGUAACACGUGACCAACCUGCCUCUUACAUUGGGACAACCAAAAGAAAUUCUGGCUAAUACCAAAUACUCCGCACAUAUCACAUGAUGUAUGCGGGAAAGCUUUUGCGGUAAGAGAUGGGGUCGCGGCCCAUUAGGUAGACGGCGGGGUAGAAGCCCACCGUGCCGAUGAUGGGUAGCCGGGUUGAGAGACCGACCGGCCACAUUGGGACUGAGAUACGGCCCAGACUCCUACGGGAGGCAGCAGUGGGGAAUAUUGCGCAAUGGGGGAAACCCUGACGCAGCAACGCCGCGUGCGGGAUGAAGGCCUUCGGGUUGUAAACCGCUUUCAGCAGGGAAGACAUCGACGGUACCUGCAGAAGAAGCCCCGGCUAACUACGUGCCAGCAGCCGCGGUAAUACGUAGGGGGCGAGCGUUAUCCGGAUUCAUUGGGCGUAAAGCGCGCGCAGGCGGUUGCUCAAGCGGAACCUCUAAUCUCGGGGCUUAACCUCGAGCCGGGUUCCGAACUGGACGACUCGAGUGCGGUAGAGGCAGAUGGAAUUCCCGGUGUAGCGGUGGAAUGCGCAGAUAUCGGGAAGAACACCAACGGCGAAGGCAGUCUGCUGGGCCGUCACUGACGCUGAGGCGCNNNAGCUGGGGGAGCGAACAGGAUUAGAUACCCUGGUAGUCCCAGCCGUAAACGAUGAGCGCUGGGUGUGGGAG
This 729-nucleotide ribosomal RNA is filed under the name uncultured bacterium. Its description in RNAcentral is "bacterial SSU rRNA". It matches the Rfam family "Bacterial small subunit ribosomal RNA", at positions 80 to 828 of the family's 1533-position model. The record is from RNAcentral.